RNAcentral lists this ribosomal RNA (497 nucleotides) under uncultured bacterium. Its description in RNAcentral is "partial 16S ribosomal RNA". It matches the Rfam family "Bacterial small subunit ribosomal RNA", at positions 28 to 507 of the family's 1533-position model. The record is from RNAcentral.
GACGGACGCUGGCGGCGUGCCUAAUACAUGCAAGUUGAGCGCUGAAGGUUGGUACUUGUACCAACUGGAUGAGCAGCGAACGGGUGAGUAACGCGUGGGGAAUCUGCCUUUUAGCGGGGGACAACAUUUGGAAACGAAUGCUAAUACCGCAUAAAAACUUUAAACACAAGUUUUAAGUUUGAAAGAUGCAAUUGCAUCACUCAAAGAUGAUCCCGCGUUGUAUUAGCUAGUUGGUGAGGUAAAGGCUCACCAAGGCGAUGAUACAUAGCCGACCUGAGAGGGUGAUCGGCCACAUUGGGACUGAGACACGGCCCAAACUCCUACGGGAGGCAGCAGUAGGGAAUCUUCGGCAAUGGACGGAAGUCUGACCGAGCAACGCCGCGGGAGGGAAGAAGGGUUUCGGAUCGUAAAACUCUGUUGGUAGAGAAGAACGUUGGUGAGAGUGGAAAGCUCAUCAAGUGACGGUAACUACCCAGAAAGGGACGGCUAACUACGUG